Molecule: unclassified non-coding RNA, 704 nt
Filed under: Zea mays
Lineage: Eukaryota; Viridiplantae; Streptophyta; Magnoliopsida; Poales; Poaceae
Description: misc RNA Zm00001eb418360
Source: RNAcentral
CAACAAUCAGUAAGAUUUACAAGAGGCAUCAUAAUAGUUUGAUAGCUGUCAACAUUACAAGAAACAUCCCACCGUCUAUCAUGGGAGCAAAGAUGUCGAAAGGUGUUUACAUCAACUCCAAAGCUUUCCCAACGAAGACAAGAGGCAACCAAACUAUAGGUAACCUUGCAGCCAACAGGGUGUCUGUCUUUAAUGCAUUUUGCUUGCAUUUCAGACUCUGUUGCCAUGCUUCAAAAGUGGAUAUACUUAACUUCACAGGGUCUAUCCGUUCAUGCUUGCUGCAAGUAGGAGUACAAUAUGGAUAGCUCAAGUCUUCAAUGAGUAGCUUAGUAGCAGCAGCUAUGCAACUAUACCAAUACUAUAGAAAAUUUCCUCGAUGUCAACUCAUAUUUCAUAGAAACCUUUUAAACCAUCUGAGUACAUUGAGAGCAGAUCAUAACAAUUGGGCCUAGGAACAGUGAGCCCAAACACUCCGGAGCGGUGUGACAUAUGGCAAAUAGGUGGUACGGCAAAGCGUGAAUGUCUCGCUACAGGACGAGAGUAUUUAUAUGGCAACCGGAAGUUGGUGGCCUAAAGGGGUGUUUGGUUUAUAGGGACUAAUUUUUAGUUCUUAUAUUUUAUUCCAUUUUAGUUCCAAAAUUACUAAAUAUAGAAAUUAAAACUUUAUUUUAAUUUCUAUAUUUAGUAAUUUAUAGACUAAAAUG